CCUGCAUAGACGUGACAUACUAUAGCUAGCAGAUUGACACAAUGUAUCUGACGAGUAUAUAGGUUAACGAGACAACUUUGUGAGUCUGCCUAGUGAUAAAUAUCCCACAGGGCAUCCCAGGGGCCACACGAUUGUCCUUAUUCACCUCCAGCUCCGCACCUGACACAGCGUCACUCCCAGGGGUUCCUCUUAAACUCCGUUCUGCUCAGGUCAAGACAAACAUGAAGCAGAUCAUGGUGCCCUCCAAUAUGUACCCCACACUCAUCUGGAUGGCUAUUAAAUUACAGACAACUCUACAUACAAACUGCUUCUCUAUGGAAGCCGUUCCAGGUCGAUAAAUGAGCAUUUAAUCACAGCGUACAGCCAGUAACAUUAAAGCAGCAAUUAGGUAUUUGAA
Molecule: long non-coding RNA, 397 nt
Organism: Xenopus laevis (African clawed frog)
Lineage: Eukaryota; Metazoa; Chordata; Amphibia; Anura; Pipidae
Exons: 2
Source: RefSeq, a predicted model, not a curated record